Long non-coding RNA from Manis pentadactyla (Chinese pangolin), 1162 nucleotides. RefSeq lists it as uncharacterized. Lineage: Eukaryota; Metazoa; Chordata; Mammalia; Pholidota; Manidae. The record is from RefSeq and is a predicted model, not a curated record. The transcript is spliced from 2 exons.
UUUUUAAACGAGAAGUGCAUCCCAAGCUCUCAGUGAAGGCGGGAGUAGGAGGAGGUGAAAUACAACCUUUAUUUUCCCGACUGCUUAUCAUCCAAUUCCUUGCUUUCCUCUGACUCUCAUGAGUGAUGAGGUCAUCCCAGGGCAGGAAAAUCAAACUCCUAUUUUUCAAACCCAAUAAAGGCCGGCAUUGUUUGUCUGCGUAAACAGGCCGGACGGGUAGGGUGGCAGGAGCACCAGUGGCCCGCCCUCUGGCGGUCGCAUGAGACAGUGGUGCCCUGCGCUCGGCGGAACAGCGACACGGAGGCGGAGAGGGUUCGUGCUAAAAUGACGCAAAGAUCCAUUACUGUGCGCGGCAGGGGAGAGGAUGCUGCAAGGAGCUGAUGCAUGUCACAUUAUAGCCUCGUCGGCUUGCCCCGGACUUACGCAGCCUCGCUCUGCGCGGGCGGGGAGUGGGAGGUACACUCCUGCAGCCGGCGACCCACUGAGCUCUCCAGGGCUCUUUCCCGGGCCUGCCGCCCAAGGAUUCACGCCCGCCUAUUCCUUACCACAGUGGAAUUCUUAGUUUUUAAACAGAGAAUGCCAAAAAGACGAACGAUCACCAGGGGCCCUCUUGGAGAUACAGAGAGCACGAUGGCUCCUUCUAACCUUCAGGGGCCCGACUGCUUGUGGACAAGGGUUCCCAGCCUACCUUCCCGCAAGGAACUGCGUUACCCAGUGCUUGCUCAGACAAUUGUUGCUGUAAAUACCGGCAAUCCACCAAACCCCCGCCUCCCCUUGCCACCCCCACCCCCACCCCCAAGCACGGAUAGGAACGUAUUUACAGCAAGCAGGCUUGUCUGGUUGCAUUCUUUUUAAGGCCUUGGAAUGAAGGGGUGCUCCCUCCACCCCUGAGGUACUGGAGCAACUGGACAUUCUCAGGCCUUUGCCACUGUGGAUGGAAGCCACCUCCCAUAUUUAGAGAAAUGUCCACGCCUAGCAUUUGUGUUAAAGUUGUUAAAUUGUUUCCUGAUUGUGAAAGAUGCUCCAGAAAAAGAGGCAAACCUGGUACAGCACAACUUCCUCGGAAACAGGACAAAAAAUACUUCUGAGGGAAAAAAUAGGCAUUCUUGUCUUUGAUAUGUAUGGAGCAUAUUUUAUAUACAUGUAUUUGUUUUUCCUUGAA